RNAcentral lists this ribosomal RNA (444 nucleotides) under uncultured soil bacterium. RNAcentral describes it as "bacterial SSU rRNA". It matches the Rfam family "Bacterial small subunit ribosomal RNA", at positions 26 to 518 of the family's 1533-position model. The record is from RNAcentral.
AGAACGAACGCUGGCGGCAUGCCUAACACAUGCAAGUCGAACGAGACCUUCGGGUCUAGUGGCGCACGGGUGCGUAACGCGUGGGAAUCUGCCCUUGGGUUCGGGAUAACAGUUGGAAACGACUGCUAAUACCGGAUGAUGACUUCGGUCCAAAGAUUUAUUGCCCAGGGAUGAGCCCGCGUAGGAUUAGCUAGUUGGUGAGGUAAAGGCUCACCAAGGCGACGAUCCUUAGCUGGUCUGAGAGGAUGAUCAGCCACACUGGGACUGAGACACGGCCCAGACUCCUACGGGAGGCAGCAGUGGGGAAUAUUGGACAAUGGGCGAAAGCCUGAUCCAGCAAUGCCGCGCGAGUGAUGAAGGCCUUAGGUUGUAAAGCUCUUUUACCCGGGAUGAUAAUGACAGUACCGGAGAAUAAGCCCCGGCUAACUCCGUGCCAGCAGCCGC